UGUAGAGUGCAUGAUGUGAACAUGUCUUCCUUCGGGGCUCUCUGCAAGGUGCUGCAUGGUUGUCGUCAGCUCGUGCCGUGAGAUGUUGGGUUAAGUCCCGCAACGAGCGCAACCCUUAUCCCCAGUUGCCAUCAGGUAAAGCUGGGAACUCUGGGGAGACUGCCGGUGAUAAACCGGAGGAAGGCGGGGAUGACGUCAAGUCCUCAUGGCCCUUACAUCCCGGGCUACACACGUGCUACAAUGGCAGGUACAGAGGGCUGCAAAGCCGCGAGGUAGAGCGAAUCCCAGAAAACCUGUCUCAGUCCGGAUUGAAGUCUGCAACUCGACUUCAUGAAGGCGGAAUCGCUAGUAACCGCGAAUCAGCAGGUCGCGGUGAAUACGUUCCCGGGCCUU
RNAcentral lists this ribosomal RNA (393 nucleotides) under uncultured Latescibacterota bacterium. RNAcentral describes it as "bacterial SSU rRNA". It matches the Rfam family "Bacterial small subunit ribosomal RNA", at positions 986 to 1382 of the family's 1533-position model. Lineage: Bacteria; Pseudomonadati; Candidatus Latescibacterota. The record is from RNAcentral.